CGGGGUGAGUAACGCGUGGAUAACCUGCCUCACACUGGGGGAUAACAGUUAGAAAUGACUGCUAAUACCGCACAAGCGCACAGUACCGCAUGGUACAGUGUGAAAAACUCCGGUGGUGUGAGAUGGAUCCGCGUCUGAUUAGCCAGUUGGCGGGGUAACGGCCCACCAAAGCGACGAUCAGUAGCCGACCUGAGAGGGUGACCGGCCACAUUGGGACUGAGACACGGCCCAA
This 232-nucleotide ribosomal RNA is filed under the name uncultured bacterium. Its description in RNAcentral is "partial 16S ribosomal RNA". It matches the Rfam family "Bacterial small subunit ribosomal RNA", at positions 104 to 334 of the family's 1533-position model. The record is from RNAcentral.